Molecule: ribosomal RNA, 376 nt
Filed under: uncultured alga
Lineage: Eukaryota
Description: bacterial LSU rRNA
Rfam family: Bacterial large subunit ribosomal RNA
Source: RNAcentral
CGCUUGACUGUAUCUUGGAAUUGGGUUCGGGCUUUUCUUGCGCAGACUAGGUGGGAGGCUAUGAAGAUUUUCUUCUGGGAAAAUUGGAGCCAACAGUGAGAGACCACUCUUGGAAAAGGCUAGAAUCCUAAAUUGGUGAUCCUUGAAUCCAGGACACUUGACAGUUUCAGGUGGGCAGUUUUUCUGGGCGGAAGCCUCAUAAAAGGUAACUGAGGCGCCAAAGGUCCCCUCAGUCUGGACGGAAAUCAGACAUUGAGUGUAAAGGCAAAAGGGCUUGACUGCAAGACCCACAAGUCGAGCAGGGCGGAAAGCUGGCCUUAGUGAUCCGACGGUGCCGUGUGGGAAGGGGGCCGUCGCUCAAAACGAAUAAAAGUUA